RNAcentral lists this ribosomal RNA (253 nucleotides) under uncultured bacterium. RNAcentral describes it as "partial 16S ribosomal RNA". It matches the Rfam family "Bacterial small subunit ribosomal RNA", at positions 524 to 776 of the family's 1533-position model. The record is from RNAcentral.
UACGGGGGAGGCAAGCGUUGUUCGGAAUUACUGGGCGUAAAGGGCUCGUAGGCGGCCAACUAAGUCAGACGUGAAAUCCCUCGGCUUAACCGGGGAACUGCGUCUGAUACUGGAUGGCUUGAGUUUGGGAGAGGGAUGCGGAAUUCCAGGUGUAGCGGUGAAAUGCGUAGAUAUCUGGAGGAACACCGGUGGCGAAGGCGGCAUCCUGGACCAACACUGACACUGAUGAGCGAAAGCCAGGGGAGCAAACGGG